GAUGAACGCUGGCGGCGUGCCUAAUACAUGCAAGUCGAGCGCAAAGAUCAGGAGCUUGCUCCUGUGAUUUGAGCGGCGGACGGGUGAGUAACACGUAGGCAACCUACCCUUGAGAUUGGGAUAACUACCGGAAACGGUAGCUAAUACCGGAUACGACCUUUCCACAUAAGUGGAGUUGUUAAAAGGCGGAUUUAUCUGCCGCUCAUGGAUGGGCCUGCGGUGCAUUAGCUAGUUGGUGAGAUAGUAGCUCACCAAGGCGACGAUGCAUAGCCGACCUGAGAGGGUGAUCGGCCACACUGGGACUGAGACACGGCCCAGACUCCUACGGGAGGCAGCAGUAGGGAAUCUUCCGCAAUGGACGAAAGUCUGACGGAGCAACGCCGCGUGAGUGAUGAAGGGUUUCGGCUCGUAAAACUCUGUUGUUAAGGAAGAAUACUUGAGGUAGUAACUGGCCUUGAGAUGACGGUACUUAACCAGAAAGCCACGGCUAACUACGUGCCAGCAGCCGCGGUAAUACGUAGGUGGCAAGCGUUAUCCGGAAUUAUUGGGCGUAAAGCGCGCGUAGGCGGUAAAAUAAGUCUGAUGUGAAAGCCCCCGGCUCAACCGGGGAGGGUCAUUGGAAACUGUUUUACUUGAGUACAGAAGAGGAGAGUGGAAUUCCAUGUGUAGCGGUGAAAUGCGCAGAGAUAUGGAGGAACACCAGUGGCGAAGGCGGCUCUCUGGUCUGUUACUGACGCUGAGGUGCGAAAGCGUGGGGAUCAAACAGGAUUAGAUACCCUGGUAGUCCACGCCGUAAACGAUGAGUGCUAAGUGUUGGGGGGUUUCCGCCCCUCAGUGCUGCAGCUAACGCAUUAAGCACUCCGCCUGGGG
This 870-nucleotide ribosomal RNA is filed under the name uncultured bacterium. Its description in RNAcentral is "bacterial SSU rRNA". It matches the Rfam family "Bacterial small subunit ribosomal RNA", at positions 28 to 878 of the family's 1533-position model. The record is from RNAcentral.